This 318-nucleotide unclassified non-coding RNA is filed under the name Hevea brasiliensis (rubber tree). Lineage: Eukaryota; Viridiplantae; Streptophyta; Magnoliopsida; Malpighiales; Euphorbiaceae. The record is from RNAcentral.
AUAUGGAUGUCCUCGAAUGCCCAGGGUCAUGCGCAGGGGAUGACACUCAUUCUCAGAUUUCAAAAGCAGUCAUCUUUUAGGAAACGCAUGUUUGAAUACAGAAAUCCUUUGGAGCAACCGAUUUCUAGCACAAUGUUCAGAGGCCUUCAUGUACUCCUUACUGAUGACGAUGAUGUAAAUAGACUGGUAACUAGAAAGCUCCUCGAAAAACUAGGUUGCCAAGUAACUGCUGUUUCAACCGGUUUUCAAUGCCUGAGUGCUCUGGGCCCUUCACUAACAACCUUUCAAGUACUCAUCUUGGAUCUUCAAAUGCCAGAA